AAGGUUCCAAAGUACAGAGCAGCAUUGCAAAUAGGACUAAAAAUGAGCCGGACUACACACCUGCUUGAGCUCGGCUUGAAAUUUUUUUUUGAGCUUCAGGCUAGGCUUGGGCCCUAGAAUCUUUUAGAAAAUGAGGCCCAAGCCCAGCUCAAACUCAAUCAACCUGGCCCAUAUCAUUGGUAAUGGGUCAGAAGCAAACUCAUCAGCACCA
RNAcentral lists this long non-coding RNA (211 nucleotides) under Elaeis guineensis (African oil palm). Its description in RNAcentral is "long non-coding RNA (EGUI_LNC003716)". The record is from RNAcentral. Lineage: Eukaryota; Viridiplantae; Streptophyta; Magnoliopsida; Arecales; Arecaceae.